CGUCGUGCCUGUUCGGGUCUCAUGAAUGGACGUCCCGCGAAGACCACAGUUGGCCUCUGCAUCUUUCGGAAGAGAGAUGUGGGUGGUUCGUUAAACCGUGGGAAACCGGGCGAGAUUGGAAACAGAGUAGCCUCACUCACAGCUGUGCGUUGGUCGUACGGGAUAGCGCCCAUUCCUCGGAUAG
RNAcentral lists this non-coding RNA (184 nucleotides) under Tetraselmis chui. Lineage: Eukaryota; Viridiplantae; Chlorophyta; Chlorodendrophyceae; Chlorodendrales; Chlorodendraceae. The record is from RNAcentral.